GACGAACGCUGGCGGCGUGCCUAAUACAUGCAAGUAGAACGCUGAAGGAGGAGCUUGCUUCUCUGGAUGAGUUGCGAACGGGUGAGUAACGCGUAGGUAACCUGCCUGGUAGCGGGGGAUAACUAUUGGAAACGAUAGCUAAUACCGCAUAAUAGUAGAUGUUGCAUGACAUUUGCUUAAAAGGUGCAAUUGCAUCACUACCAGAUGGACCUGCGUUGUAUUAGCUAGUUGGUGGGGUAACGGCUCACCAAGGCGACGAUACAUAGCCGACCUGAGAGGGUGAUCGGCCACACUGGGACUGGGACACGGCCCAGACUCCUACGGGAGGCAGCAGUAGGGAAUCUUCGGCAAUGGACGGAAGUCUGACCGAGCAACGCCGCGUGAGUGAAGAAGGUUUUCGGAUCGUAAAGCUCUGUUGUAGGAGAAGAACGAGUGUGAGAGUGGAAAGUUCACACUGUGACGGUAUCUUACCAGAAAGGGACGGCUAACUACGUGCCAGCAGCCGCGGUAAUACGUAGGUCCCGAGCGUUGUCCGGAUUUAUUGGGCGUAAAGCGAGCGCAGGCGGUUAGAUAAGUCUGAAGUUAAAGGCUGUGGCUUAACCAUAGUACGCUUUGGAAACUGUUUAACUUGAGUGCAAGAGGGGAGAGUGGAAUUCCAUGUGUAGCGGUGAAAUGCGUAGAUAUAUGGAGGAACACCGGUGGCGAAAGCGGCUCUCUGGCUUGUAACUGACGCUGAGGCUCGAAAGCGUGGGGAGCAAACAGGAUUAGGAUACCCUGGUAGUCCACGCCGUAAACGAUGAGUGCUAGGUGUUAGACCCUUUCCGGGGUUUAGUGCCGUAGCUAACGCAUUAAGCACUCCGCCUGGGGAGUACGACCGCAAGGUUGAAACUCAAAGGAAUUGACGGGGGCCCGCACAAGCGGUGGAGCAUGUGGUUUAAUUCGAAGCAACGCGAAGAACCUUACCAGGUCUUGACAUCCCUCUGACCGCUCUAGAGAUAGAGCUUUCCUUCGGGACAGAGGUGACAGGUGGUGCAUGGUUGUCGUCAGCUCGUGUCGUGAGAUGUUGGGUUAAGUCCCGCAACGAGCGCAACCCCUAUUGUUAGUUGCCAUCAUUCAGUUGGGCACUCUAGCGAGACUGCCGGUAAUAAACCGGAGGAAGGUGGGGAUGACGUCAAAUCAUCAUGCCCCUUAUGACCUGGGCUACACACGUGCUACAAUGGCUGGUACAACGAGUCGCAAGCCGGUGACGGCAAGCUAAUCUCUUAAAGCCAGUCUCAGUUCGGAUUGUAGGCUGCAACUCGCCUACAUGAAGUCGGAAUCGCUAGUAAUCGCGGAUCAGCACGCCGCGGUGAAUACGUUCCCGGGCCU
Molecule: ribosomal RNA, 1368 nt
Filed under: uncultured bacterium
Lineage: Bacteria
Description: bacterial SSU rRNA
Rfam family: Bacterial small subunit ribosomal RNA
Source: RNAcentral